GACGAACGCUGGCGGCGUGCUUAACACAUGCAAGUCGAACGGUGACGGAGAGCUUGCUCUCCUGAUCAGUGGCGAACGGGUGAGUAACACGUGGGCAACCUGCCCCAGACUUCGGGAUAACUGCCUGAAAGGGUGGCUAAUACCGGAUGCGGUGAUCUGGACGCAUGUUCGGAUCACGAAAACUACGAUGCUGAAGGAUGGGCCCGCGUCCCAUUAGCUAGUUGGUGAGGUAACGGCCCACCAAGGCGACGAUGGGUAGCCGGCCUGAGAGGGUGGACGGCCACACUGGGACUGAGACACGGCCCAGACUCCUACGGGAGGCAGCAGUCGGGAAUCUUCCACAAUGGGCGAAAGCCUGAUGGAGCGACGCCGCGUGAGGGAAGAAGGUCUUCGGAUCGUAAACCUCUGUCCUCAGGGACGAUAAUGACGGUACCUGAGGAGGAAGCCACGGCUAACUACGUG
RNAcentral lists this ribosomal RNA (462 nucleotides) under uncultured bacterium. RNAcentral describes it as "bacterial SSU rRNA". It matches the Rfam family "Bacterial small subunit ribosomal RNA", at positions 28 to 507 of the family's 1533-position model. The record is from RNAcentral.